AUACGGAGGGUGCAAGCGUUAAUCGGAAUCACUGGGCGUAAAGCGCGCGCAGGCGGCUAUUUAAGUUGGAUGUGAAAGCCUACGGCUCAACCGUAGAACUGCAUCCAAAACUAUUUAGCUAGAGUGUGGGAGAGGAAGAUGGAAUUAGUUGUGUAGGGGUAAAAUCCGUAGAGAUAACUAGGAAUACCAAAAGCGAAGGCAAUCUUCUGGAACACUACUGACGCUGAGGCGCGAAAGCGUGGGGAGCAAACGGGAUUAGAUACCCUUGUAGUCC
This 274-nucleotide ribosomal RNA is filed under the name uncultured bacterium. Its description in RNAcentral is "partial 16S ribosomal RNA". It matches the Rfam family "Bacterial small subunit ribosomal RNA", at positions 523 to 796 of the family's 1533-position model. The record is from RNAcentral.